This is a non-coding RNA of Mandrillus leucophaeus (drill), 531 nucleotides long. NCBI's taxonomy places the organism in Eukaryota, Metazoa, Chordata, Mammalia, Primates, Cercopithecidae. The record is from the annotation of a RefSeq genome assembly.
ACAGAGAUAGCUUUAAGUGAAAGCACUUGUGAAAGGGCGGGGCCUGUUGAAAGAGUUCAGUUGAGGGUGAAUUUACAGAGUUUCAGCUGGUUGGGAAGACUGGAAGACCACCUGGGCUGUCACUGAGCUCUGGUGCCAGGAGGAAUGGACAAGAUCUUAGGAGCAUCAUUUUUAAUUCUGUGGCUUCAACUAUGCUGGGUGAGUGGCCAACAGAAGGAGGAAAGUGACCGGCAGCAGGUGAAACAAAGUCCUCCAUCUUUGAUAGUCCAGAAAGGAGGGAUUUCAAUUAUAAACUGUGCUUAUGAGAACAGUGCAUUUGACUACUUUCCAUGGUACCGACAAUUCCCUGGGAAAGGCCCUGCAUUAUUGAUAGCCAUACGUUCAGCUGCGAGCGAAAAAGAAGAAGGAAGAUUCAAAAUCUUCUUCAAUAAAAGUGCCAAGAACUUCUCAUUGCAUAUCAUGGAUUCCCAGCCUGGAGACUCAGCCACCUACUUCUGUGCAGCAAGCACACAGUGCUCCCCAGGCACCUGA